ACCAGCGGAGGGAUCAUU
RNAcentral lists this ribosomal RNA (18 nucleotides) under Balansia strangulans. RNAcentral describes it as "partial small subunit ribosomal RNA". The record is from RNAcentral. RNAcentral also lists the same sequence under 14 other names. Lineage: Eukaryota; Fungi; Ascomycota; Sordariomycetes; Hypocreales; Clavicipitaceae.